UUAGCAGUGAUUAUUUGCAUUAAACCAAUUGUUCCAACUGAAUGAGAAUAUCAUAUGUCGACAAUUGCAUUAUCGUUAAGUUUCAGCCUUGUAUGAGCUUU
RNAcentral lists this small nucleolar RNA (101 nucleotides) under Pachysolen tannophilus NRRL Y-2460. Lineage: Eukaryota; Fungi; Ascomycota; Pichiomycetes; Alaninales; Pachysolenaceae. The record is from RNAcentral.